Molecule: long non-coding RNA, 143 nt
Organism: Thalassophryne amazonica
Lineage: Eukaryota; Metazoa; Chordata; Actinopteri; Batrachoidiformes; Batrachoididae
Exons: 3
Source: RefSeq, a predicted model, not a curated record
AGGAGCAAAUGGAUAAAUAUUUCUGCCACAUAAGUGGAAUUAUCCAGAAGAAGCAGACCUCCACAAGGAUACGAUGCCUCCUUCAAGAUGUUGUAGACCUAAGAAAGAAUAAGUGGGUGCCGCGCAGAAAAGACAAAGGACCA